Long non-coding RNA from Melitaea cinxia (Glanville fritillary), 535 nucleotides. RefSeq lists it as uncharacterized. Lineage: Eukaryota; Metazoa; Arthropoda; Insecta; Lepidoptera; Nymphalidae. The transcript has 2 exons. The record is from RefSeq and is a predicted model, not a curated record.
AGAUACAUAGUACAUUAUUUAAGUCGUAAUACUACCAAGAGACAACUAACUGUUCUAUUACUAAGUUGCAAAAUGUUAGUGAAAGGAAGCUUAUUGAUAAUGAGUAAUUUAAUUAAUGUCGAUUGUUUGGAUGAUGUGAAUGAAAAGUGACAGAUAUCUCUUAACUUGUUUAUUUGUGGCGAUAAUGACUUAGUACCUACUUUCACUUUUCCUCUUUUAGUUAAGUACAAAAAAUUAAGUGGAUAACGUUUGUGUAACUCAGCAUUCAAUAAAUAUAAAUCAGUAAGCAGAAAAUCUUCACGCAGACUAUAUGAAGCCAAAUAGGGCGAUCGAGUCGGAGAGAGCGCGGCCCGGUUGCGACCGGUCGGCCCCACUGCCAGCGCGCGCGCACACGCCGCUCUGCGCCGCCGACGUCGCGACGCACCCGUGUGCCACACACCGGACUGUACCACUGCUAUCGUUAAACAACAGUUUAUUUUAUCGUAAAUCCGCAGACAUAUCGAAGUGAAGAAAAUAAACAUGUUUUAAACAGUGA